UAAAAAACGUUGAAGAGGAAAAGUAUGCGGCAGAUGCCUUUCAGAGAGAACCGCCACGGCUGCGAUCGGUUCAGGCCCCUCUGUCCGCAGAAGUGCCCCUCUGAGUCUGCGGCUGAACAAAAGUAAGCAGCAGCGGGUUAACACCCGUUAUCAAUUUGGAGUUGGGAAGACGGCCAGGCCGUUUUUCAAACAGAGUGGAACCGCGUUUACAAAACGUCUCUGUC
This 224-nucleotide non-coding RNA is filed under the name Domibacillus enclensis. Its description in RNAcentral is "T-box sequence". It matches the Rfam family "T-box leader". Rfam says of the family: Uncharged tRNA acts as the effector for transcription antitermination of genes in the T-box leader family. T-boxes are found upstream of many aminoacyl-tRNA synthetase genes and some amino acid biosynthetic genes usually in Gram-positive bacteria. The record is from RNAcentral. Lineage: Bacteria; Bacillati; Bacillota; Bacilli; Caryophanales; Bacillaceae.